AGAGUUUGAUCCUGGCUCAGGAUGGACGCUAGCUACAGGCUUAACACAUGCAGGUCGAGGGGCAGCAUGUUGGUUGCUUGCAACCAACGAUGGCGACCGGCGCACGGGUGAGUAACGCGUAUCCAACCUACCCUUGUCCAUCGGAUAACCCGUCGAAAGGCGGCCUAACACGAUAUGCGGUUCACAGCAGGCAUCUAACGUGAACGAAAUGUGAAGGAGAAGGAUGGGGAUGCGUCUGAUUAGCUUGGUUGGCGGGGUAACGGCCACCAAGGCUACGAUCAGUAGGGGUUCUGAGAGGAACGGUCCCCCACAUUGGAACUGAGACACGGUCCAAACUCCGUACGGAGGCA
This 350-nucleotide ribosomal RNA is filed under the name uncultured bacterium. RNAcentral describes it as "bacterial SSU rRNA". It matches the Rfam family "Bacterial small subunit ribosomal RNA", at positions 8 to 350 of the family's 1533-position model. The record is from RNAcentral.